Molecule: ribosomal RNA, 253 nt
Filed under: uncultured bacterium
Lineage: Bacteria
Description: partial 16S ribosomal RNA
Rfam family: Bacterial small subunit ribosomal RNA
Source: RNAcentral
GACAGAGGAUGCAAGCGUUAUCCGGAAUGAUUGGGCGUAAAGCGUCUGUAGGUGGCUUUUCAAGUCCGCCGUCAAAUCCCAGGGCUCAACCCUGGACAGGCGGUGGAAACUACCAAGCUGGAGUACGGUAGGGGCAGAGGGAAUUUCCGGUGGAGCGGUGAAAUUCGUAGAUAUUGGGAAGAACACCGGUGGCGAAGGCGGCCAUCUGGACCAUUUCUGACGCUGAGGCGCGAAAGCGUGGGGAGCAAACAGG